Salvia miltiorrhiza (redroot sage) is the source of this 107-nucleotide small nucleolar RNA. NCBI's taxonomy places the organism in Eukaryota, Viridiplantae, Streptophyta, Magnoliopsida, Lamiales, Lamiaceae. The record is from RefSeq and is a predicted model, not a curated record.
AAACCAUGUUGGGGAUAAUUUCUUAGCAGCUCCCGGAAUCUUUCCCAGGCAUCAUGAAUUGUUUCAUCUCCAAGCUGGGCAAAGUGAGAAAUCUCGGCAAUGAUUUU